RNAcentral lists this ribosomal RNA (478 nucleotides) under uncultured bacterium. Its description in RNAcentral is "partial 16S ribosomal RNA". It matches the Rfam family "Bacterial small subunit ribosomal RNA", at positions 28 to 507 of the family's 1533-position model. The record is from RNAcentral.
GACGAACGCUGGUGGCGUGCUUAACACAUGCAAGUCGAACGGGAUUUCGUAAACAGAAGCCUCGGUGGAAGAUUACUAAUGAGAGUGGCGAACGGGUGAGUAACGCGUGAGCAACCUGCCUAUGACAGUGGGAUAGCCUCGGGAAACCGGGAUUAAUACCGCAUAAAAUCGUAGAAACACAUGUUUUAACGGUCAAAGAUUUAUCGGUCAUAGAUGGGCUCGCGUCUGAUUAGCUAGUUGGUGAGAUAACAGCCCACCAAGGCGACGAUCAGUAGCCGGUCUGAGAGGAUGAACGGCCACAUUGGAACUGAGACACGGUCCAAACUCCUACGGGAGGCAGCAGUGGGGAAUAUUGCACAAUGGGGGAAACCCUGAUGCAGCGACGCCGCGUGAACGAAGAAGGUAUUCGUAUCGUAAAGUUCUGUCCUAUGGGAAGAUAAUGACAGUACCAUAGAAGAAAGCUCCGGCUAAAUACGUG